UUCAAUGAACUGUAUAGUGGUUUUAUUCACAGAGCUGGCUUUCUACUGAGCUUCGCACCUUCAGUAAACCAGCUCCAUGGUUUGCUAGCAUGCUAGCUUCAGCUGAGUUAAUUUAAAAUGGAAAAUGAAACUAAUUACUCAAGUGUGGCUAGUUGGCAGCACUGGCAGGUAUAAAUGAAAUAAUGUUAGCUGCGAACUAGCUGCCUACUUAACUAGCAGCUACCUAGCUAUUCUUCAGAUAUUUCAUUACAACAGCGUACUAGUAAUCGUCUGUGCUAUUAACUAUAAUUAAAACUAAAAUACUGAACAACAGCAGCCAGUGACAUUAACUCCAGUUAAAAGUGAGCUAUAGUGAACCAGCUAGCUGCUAGCAGUUUCCACCUGCCACCCGUAACGUUGACGUUAGCCACCUAGUCUAGAAGAAAAAUGCUUCACUUCAGGGCGAAAACAGUGUUGGGGAAAACGAGUUUAAAGUUAGCUGGUUUUGAUAACGGUACCGAGCGAGUGUGGUCGUAGGAAUGAAGACGGCACCGAAACGAAACACCCAAAUCUGUAUUGCAAUCCUGUAGAUAGGCCAUAAAUGCUACCGGGUUUCGCUACCAAAGCCUGUUUAGGCCGCUGCGUGACUACAAGGUAAUGAAACGAAUGAAAACCUCGGCCUACCUUUGCAGACUUCGCCAAUCCACGCACUGGCUUGUUCCGCAGGCCUGCAACCGGGUGCCAUUGCCAGUCAUGGUCAUUUUAAGUUUGUGAAAAGAGGUGUGGAGGUGGUGGACGGAUCGGGGUUGGAGUGAGGACAUGCGGUAGGAGGGAGGCCAGAGGUGGGAGGGUGAGGUGGGGGUGGUAGAUCAUGGCCCCCAAAAGAUUUCCAAUUUUUUGGCAGCUAUCCAAAUGAAGGGAGUCGGAGGUGGGAGGAAUAAACCGGAAGGCUGUACAUGUGUGUACGAGGGACUGAGGGAGGGAGAGAGAGAGAAGAGAGAGAGAGAGAGAGAGAGAGAGAGAGAAAUGAAGCCGUCCGGUGGCAUCCAGACGCCUCACACCCUCGGCCGCUCUCUCCCUCAUUUCCAAGGGCUUUGUUCCAUCUGUCACCGCUGCUAUUGUGGCCGGGGGGCUCGCGGCUGCGUUAAGCGGGGGUAAUGUAAUUAGAUUGAGACGUUUAGCAAAUCGAAUGCAGAUGGCUUUCAACAGGGGGAGAGAGACAGGGGAGAGGAAGUGGGGUGCAUAUGAGCGGACAGGCGGCGAGGGGAUGGGGGGGUGGCGGGGGGGGUGAGUGGGAGAAUUGCGAGACACCUUUGUGCUGCCGAGUGCCGGAACAUGCAUAUUGAACAACC
Molecule: long non-coding RNA, 1331 nt
Organism: Anguilla rostrata (American eel)
Lineage: Eukaryota; Metazoa; Chordata; Actinopteri; Anguilliformes; Anguillidae
Exons: 3
Source: RefSeq, a predicted model, not a curated record